GUUCCGACCUGCACGAAUGGUCUAAUGAGUUGAACACUGUCUCCUCCACGAGCCCGGUGAAAUUGUAGUAUCGGUGAAGAUGCCGGUUACCCGCCACGGGACGGAAAGACCCCGUGAACCUUCACUACAACUUUGCAUUGAUUUUGAGCAACAAAUGUGUAGCAUAGUUGGGAGACUUUGAAGUUCCUACGCUAGUAGGGAUGGAGUCAUCGUUGAAAAUACCAACCUUUUGUUGCUUAGAACCUAAUCUCUACCAAGUAGAGAGACAUUGCAUGGUGGGUAGUUUGACUGGGGUGGUCGCCUCCUAAAAGUAACGGAGGCUUGCAAAGGUACCCUCAGUACGGUUGGUAAUCGUACAUAGAGCGCAUUAGUAUAAGGGUGCUUGACUGUGAGGCAUACAGGCCGAGCAGGAGCGAAAGCUGGCUAAAGUGAUCCGGUGGUUCUGUAUGGAAGGGCCAUCGCUCAAAGGAUAAAAGGUACUACGGGGAUAACGAGGCUGAUCUUACCCAAGAGCUACAUAUCGACGGUAA
This 530-nucleotide ribosomal RNA is filed under the name uncultured bacterium. Its description in RNAcentral is "bacterial LSU rRNA". It matches the Rfam family "Bacterial large subunit ribosomal RNA", at positions 1980 to 2514 of the family's 2925-position model. The record is from RNAcentral.